UAAUUUCACCUCCUCCCAGACCUCGCAUGCCAGGAAUGAUGCUGAACUCUUCCUACACUGCCUCUGAUGCAUUUUUGAAUGGUAGCAAAUCUGAUCUCAAAGGAGAGAAUUGACCCUGGCCUGAUGAAGAAAAUGGGAAUCAGUCCUUUGGAAGGAUCAGGAAGCAGCUGAUUGGGCAGGGUAGCACUUUCUGCAUUGAAGUCCCCAUUUUCCUUGGGACAUGGCGGGGCCAGCAAGGGGUUAGAGGAUGAUUCCCAGGUGUGUGGCUCUCCAGAGCAGCGAGAGGCAUCAGAGUGGCCUCCUCCUUCUUAUUUGUGACAGACAGGGAGCCACACUUCGGAGGGCAUCGACUGCUUCUCCCCAUCAGCCAGCUGCGAAGAGGAGUCGCUCCGGGAACAGCGCCGCCCUCCCCUCGUUUGCUUUUCUUCCUCUAUUAUUCCUGACAUGUUCACUGAACUACAGACUGCAUAUGUUUAAAAAUAAUUAAACGCGCUCCAAACAAAUAGGCAAUGUUUCCACGAUCCCUGCAAUGAACGUUCUGCGUGUUUUGACAGAUUUUUCUGUUCGUUGGAUUCAUCAAGCAGCCUGGCUCUUUGCUGUCAUUCCCGACAACCUUGCAGAUAAACCCCCAGGGCAAACUCUCUGGCCUGAGCUCCUUCCUGGGCCCUGAUCUUGGGCACAGAGAACUUCCAGCCUGAGAGUCCCCAGACCUUCAGGGGAAUCCAUGUCUGGGCUCCCAGGACAAAGUGGUUCACAAAUGGAGUCAUUAGACAAAAGGGAGACUGGCUAAAUAAAUGUGGGGUUCUGUUUUGAAUGGCACUGCUAUAUUGCACUAAGAAAAGAGACUAGAAGGAAAUCCUAUGAGAAAACUGAAAGAUUACCGAGGCGCAUUAGGACCGUUCUCACCCCUCCCCGUUGGCAAAUCCUGACCUUCCACAUCCCUGCAUGUCAACCCCCUUCUUUUUAAAAAAUUAAAAUCUC
This is a long non-coding RNA of Cebus imitator (Panamanian white-faced capuchin), 981 nucleotides long. RefSeq lists it as uncharacterized. NCBI's taxonomy places the organism in Eukaryota, Metazoa, Chordata, Mammalia, Primates, Cebidae. The record is from RefSeq and is a predicted model, not a curated record. The transcript is spliced from 3 exons.